GGUCACUGCUAUUGAGAUUCGACUAAGCCAUGCGAGUCGAGAGGGUUCGGCCCUCGGCAGACGGCUCAGUAACACGUGGAUAAUCUGCCCUUAGGUGGAGGAUAACCUCGGGAAACUGAGAAUAAUACUCCAUAGAUCUAGGAUGCUGGAAUGCACUUAGAUUGAAAGUUCCGGCGCCUAAGGAUGAGUCUGCGGACUAUCAGGUAGUAGUCAGGGUAAAGGCCUGACUAGCCUACGACGGAUACGGGUUGUGAGAGCAAUAACCCGGAGACGAUAUCUGAGACACGAUAUCGGGCCCUACGGGGCGCAGCAGGCGCGAAACCUUCACAAUGUGCGAAAGCACGAUGAGGGGAUCCCAAGUGCUUGCUCGUAAGAGUAAGCUGUUUUUAUGUCUAAAACGCAUAGAGAGUAAGGGCUGGGUAAGACGGGUGCCAGCCGCCGCGGUAAUACCUGCAGCUCAAGUGGUGACCGCUAUUAUUGGGCCUAAAACGUUCGUAGCCGGUUUGGUAAGUGCCUGGGUAAAUCGUGUAGCUUAACUAUACGAAUUCCGGGUAGACUGCCAGACUUGAGACCGGGAGAAGCUAGAGGUACUCCUUGGGUAGAGGUGAAAUUCUGUAAUCCUAGGGGGACCACCAGUGGCGAAGGCGUCUAGCUAGAACGGGUUUGACGGUGAGGAACGAAGCCCUGGGGCGCGAACCGGAUUAGAUACCCGGGUAGUCCAGGGUGUAAACGCUGCUUGCUUGAUGUUAGUUGGGCUCCGAGCCCAAUUAGUGUCGGAGAGAAGUUGUUAAGCAAGCUGCCUGGGAAGUACGAUCGCGAGAUUGAAACUUAA
RNAcentral lists this ribosomal RNA (832 nucleotides) under uncultured archaeon. Its description in RNAcentral is "bacterial SSU rRNA". It matches the Rfam family "Archaeal small subunit ribosomal RNA", at positions 21 to 859 of the family's 1478-position model. The record is from RNAcentral.